UGUAAGGUUGUGGUUGGUGAGCCUGUGGAAAAACCAACUGGGUUUGAUUGUGAACCCGGAAAAACAAUCGGUUGGUUCUAGUCGGUGAGCCUGUGAAAACCGACCGAGUUCGUUGUUAUCUUGUAAAACAACAAGUUGGGUUGUGAGCUUGUAAAACAACCGGCUGUAAUCUGUAGGAUUAUAGUGAAAUUCCCAAGAAGUCUUGGGGAGUGGAUGU
RNAcentral lists this long non-coding RNA (217 nucleotides) under Phoenix dactylifera (date palm). Its description in RNAcentral is "long non-coding RNA (PDAC_LNC020161)". Lineage: Eukaryota; Viridiplantae; Streptophyta; Magnoliopsida; Arecales; Arecaceae. The record is from RNAcentral.